This 508-nucleotide antisense RNA is filed under the name Nocardia sp. NRRL S-836. Its description in RNAcentral is "Saccharopolyspora sRNA 350". It matches the Rfam family "Saccharopolyspora sRNA 350". Lineage: Bacteria; Bacillati; Actinomycetota; Actinomycetes; Mycobacteriales; Nocardiaceae. The record is from Rfam by way of RNAcentral.
CGCGCGGUGAACCCCCACGACACCUCGGCACCGGACAGCACCUCGUUGUCACCGAAGUGCUCGCCGUCGGCCAUCGUGCCCAGCGCCACGUCGUCGCCGUACUUGCCGCGGCCGGUCUUGGCGACCUUGCCGUGCGCGAUGACCACGAUGGUGUCGGCCGGGGUGUCGCGUUCGGCGAUCACGUCGCCCGGCUGGUACUCGCGCUGCUCGAACCGGCUCGCGAGCGCGGUGAGCGCGUCCUCGUCGUCGAACCCGCACAGCAGCGGGAACUCGGCCAGCUCCUGCGGCACCGGGCGGACCUCGGAGCCGACGCUGGUGAACGUGACCCGGCCGUCGCCGAUCGCGAACGUGAGCCGCCGGUUGACCCGGAAAGCACCACCCUUGGCCUCGACCCACGGCAGCAGGCGCAGCAGCCACCGGGGCGAGAUCCCCUGCAUCUGCGGUGCGGACUUGGUGGUCGUCGCGAGGUUGCGCGCAGCGGCCCGCGACAGGCUCCGCUGCUGGUCCU